Molecule: long non-coding RNA, 1136 nt
Organism: Drosophila persimilis
Lineage: Eukaryota; Metazoa; Arthropoda; Insecta; Diptera; Drosophilidae
Exons: 3
Source: RefSeq, a predicted model, not a curated record
CAAAUACAAAUUUGUGUUUUCAAUUUAAUAGGAGCAUCGGACUAUUUGGAAAAGUAUAGAUUGAGCGUGCGAAUAUCCUGAAAUUUCCCACAACAUCAUGAGUAUUCGAUUCAUUCGGAACCGAGAGUGAAGUGCCAAUGCGCCUUGAUCAACAUCAACCCGUCACCAAGUUGUUCAGGUUUUCUGAGAACCAGUCAGUUGGCGUUGUCAAAUCAAUCCUGCACCCAUCGGAGGGAGACGUAUACAUUCCGGAAUGCACUGAUAUGCUUAGAAGUCCUAGAACAUAAUGCGUGAUAAAACCAAAGUAUUUCUGUAUAUGGACAUAGGUACUGUGAGGCUCGCCAACAUACAACAAGUAAAGUAAUGAAAUGAUUGAACUCACGGAAAACAGAAAGAAAAGGUUCAUGGAGGAAAGCCUCUGCCUAAGACGACGCACGGAAUGCAGAGGACAUAAAAGUGAGAACGUCUCUUACUCGUUCUCGAUUUAAACGAGGAUUUCUGGAUAGUCGUAAUGGAUUAUCUGGACAUAUUAAACCAGCUAAGCUUUGCUUCCACAAACAUGUAUAUUUAUCGUUACAAACAUAUUGACACAUCUCUCACGAGCAUCUGGAAAAACUGCUGCAGAUUGCUGGCGAGCAUGUGGUUAGCUACGAGGGCGUACUGGAUGACGAUCGGCAUUUUGGGGAGACACUGCACGAAUAUCGAAAAUUUGAAAAUGACCUUUCGACGGACCAGCGGCGGAUGUUAUGUUAUGACCAAUAUGGCUGGAUUAUAGAAUUCUAGAAAUCCAUUGGAUUUGUGUAUGCUAUCCGGCAGUAUUAAAUACGAGCUUAGCCGUAAGUCCAUCGACAUUAUGACACCCUCUGAAGAGGAGAACUGGGGCAAAGCUUCCCACAAUGUAAGCUGUGAUCACUACGCUGUAACCGAUGAGAAGAAAGAUUCGGGUAUGUGUCUAGCUGAUUUAAAAACAGGCAUUUGUCAGCUGAAUAUGAUUAUAUUACUUAAAAAAAAGUAUAAUUUUUCCGCAUUUAUUGGUCAUAACCUAACGAUCAUUAUCCGCUAGCUUAUGAAAUUCACUAUUUUUUCGACCAGCUAUUCAAGGAACUAAGGAAAUCUAAUUGACAGACAGUAAAAUG